UACGUAGGGUGCAAGCGUUGUCCGGAAUUAUUGGGCGUAAAGAGCUCGUAGGCGGUCUGUCGCGUCUGGUGUGAAAACUCAAGGCUUAACCUUGGGCCUGCAUCGGGUACGGGCAGACUAGAGUGCGGUAGGGGAGACUGGAAUUCCUGGUGUAGCGGUGGAAUGCGCAGAUAUCAGGAGGAACACCGGUGGCGAAGGCGGGUCUCUGGGCAGUAACUGACGCUGAGGAGCGAAAGCGUGGGGAGCAAACAGG
This 253-nucleotide ribosomal RNA is filed under the name uncultured bacterium. RNAcentral describes it as "partial 16S ribosomal RNA". It matches the Rfam family "Bacterial small subunit ribosomal RNA", at positions 524 to 776 of the family's 1533-position model. The record is from RNAcentral.